GACUCAUCUUCUCCCUCUCAUCCUCUCAUCUUCUCACCGGCGUUCCCUGCAGGUGUCGUCUCUCCGGAAACCGCUUUCCUUUCCGUCACUCUACAUCUCACUUCCUUCUCAGCUGCCACAGAGAUCCUAGACUAGCUCGUGUGGUGCUAUUUUGCAGCAGAAGCAUACAUCCAUAUUCGGAUCUUCCGCUCUCUCAUCCUCUUCUCGUUUUUCUUCCUGAUCUCGUCCCUGCUUCCUCUAAGACCUGCAACUGGAGUUAUCCUCCUUCGAGACUUAAAAGUUUUGUUUCAGUACUUUGGGAGAGUUGCAUAGAAAGACAAGUGCUCAAUGGGGGAUUGUUUUUGAAACUCAGAGAAGUUCAAGAAGAGCAUAACAUUAAGGAGAUAACGAGGACCAUACAUAUAUAUGAAGAAGAGAACCCUACAAAAUAAUUGAAGAGCAUAAGUUUACUUUAUAAAUAUUCAUGGUUGCUGAACUAUGUUACACAUUGUAAUAUUACAAUUUAUGUAAAAAAAAUGAUUUGUUAGUACUAAUAAUUGUUAUUUAGGUGAAUCAUUCAGGUAUUUUUUUUUUUAUAAAAGUGACUGUUACGGCGGUUCAAACUGCCACUAUGUGUUUUUUUUCUUAAACAAUGGGCAUUACGGCAGUUCAAACUGCCACUAUGUGUUUUUUUUCUUAAACAAUGGGCAUUACGGCAGUUCAAACUGCCACUAUGCUCAAUUUUUUUUUGCUGAAAAAGUGUGUAUUAUGGCGGGUUAAACCGCCGGAUUAACCAAACGCGUAUUACGGCAGUUUGCGUGGCGGUCCUUCUUAAAUCGCCGCAGUACAUCCAAAUUUUAGCCGCCGGAUCAUGGUGAUGAAUUUUGAGGGAGACCAUUUUUAGAGUGUCCUACUGCCCUAUGAAUGUGAAACAUAACAUUUUUAGAAUGUGUUCUAUUGCCUUUUGAGCGUGAAACCUUCACAUUUUUAGAUUGUGUUCUAUUGCCAUCUGAGCGUCGACAUUUUUAGAUUGUGUUCGUGUUAUAUGUAUAUAUGA
This 1036-nucleotide long non-coding RNA is filed under the name Medicago truncatula (barrel medic). RNAcentral's name for it is "lncRNA gene36719". The record is from RNAcentral. Lineage: Eukaryota; Viridiplantae; Streptophyta; Magnoliopsida; Fabales; Fabaceae.